Molecule: ribosomal RNA, 431 nt
Filed under: uncultured bacterium
Lineage: Bacteria
Description: partial 16S ribosomal RNA
Rfam family: Bacterial small subunit ribosomal RNA
Source: RNAcentral
AACGAACGCUGGCGGCAGGCUUAACACAUGCAAGUCGAGCGCCCCGCAAGGGGAGCGGCAGACGGGUGAGUAACGCGUGGGAACGUACCUUUUGGUUCGGAACAACUCCGGGAAACUGGAGCUAAUACCGGAUAAGCCCUAACGGGGAAAGAUUUAUCGCCGAAAGAUCGGCCCGCGUCUGAUUAGCUAGUUGGUGAGGUAACGGCUCACCAAGGCGACGAUCAGUAGCUGGUCUGAGAGGAUGAUCAGCCACACUGGGACUGAGACACGGCCCAGACUCCUACGGGAGGCAGCAGUGGGGAAUAUUGGACAAUGGGCGCAAGACUGAUCCAGCCAUGCCGCGUGAGUGAUGAAGGCCUUAGGGUUGUAAAGCUCUUUUGUCCGGGAAGAUAAUGACUGUACCGGAAGAAUAAGCCCCGGCUAACUUCGUG